This 498-nucleotide ribosomal RNA is filed under the name uncultured bacterium. RNAcentral describes it as "bacterial SSU rRNA". It matches the Rfam family "Bacterial small subunit ribosomal RNA", at positions 392 to 881 of the family's 1533-position model. The record is from RNAcentral.
CCAUGCCGCGUGUGUGAAGAAGGCCUUUUGGUUGUAAAGCACUUUAAGCGAGGAGGAGGCUACCUAGAUUAAUACUCUGGGAUAGUGGAAGUUACUCGCAGAAUAAGCACCGGCUAACUCUGUGCCAGCAGCCGCGGUAAUACAGAGGGUGCGAGCGUUAAUCGGAUUUACUGGGCGUAAAGCGUGCGUAGGCGGCUGAUUAAGUCGGAUGUGAAAUCCCUGAGCUUAACUUAGGAAUUGCAUUCGAUACUGGUCAGCUAGAGUAUGGGAGAGGAUGGUAGAAUUCCAGGUGUAGCGGUGAAAUGCGUAGAGAUCUGGAGGAAUACCGAUGGCGAAGGCAGCCAUCUGGCCUAAUACUGACGCUGAGGUACGAAAGCAUGGGGAGCAAACAGGAUUAGAUACCCUGGUAGUCCAUGCCGUAAACGAUGUCUACUAGCCGUUGGGGCCUUUGAGGCUUUAGUGGCGCAGCUAACGCGAUAAGUUGACCGCCUGGGGAGU